CAACCAUCCAGAGCGGCCGAGAGAUCUGGCUCGACGACGCCGCAGCAACCCCCCGGGCCCGCCCGGGCGAGGGUGCUACCGCCAGGACCGAUGGAGG
RNAcentral lists this non-coding RNA (97 nucleotides) under Cellulomonas fimi. RNAcentral describes it as "SAM-I sequence". It matches the Rfam family "SAM riboswitch aptamer (S box leader)". Rfam says of the family: The SAM riboswitch is found upstream of a number of genes which code for proteins involved in methionine or cysteine biosynthesis in Gram-positive bacteria. The record is from RNAcentral. RNAcentral also lists the same sequence under 1 other name. Lineage: Bacteria; Bacillati; Actinomycetota; Actinomycetes; Micrococcales; Cellulomonadaceae.